GGAUCGAUGAUGACUCCCUCCAACAAAAACCAAACCAACAUUCCUUGGAGCGGAACAAAAUGAGUGAGAACUACACCCGUCGUCGUUCUCAUCGGUAACUGAGGUCC
RNAcentral lists this small nucleolar RNA (107 nucleotides) under Myotis davidii. Its description in RNAcentral is "Small nucleolar RNA SNORD116". It matches the Rfam family "Small nucleolar RNA SNORD116". Rfam says of the family: HBII-85 is a member of the C/D class of snoRNAs, which contain the C (UGAUGA) and D (CUGA) box motifs. HBII-85 is encoded in a tandemly repeated array with another C/D snoRNA, HBII-52, in the Prader-Willi syndrome (PWS) region of chromosome 15. Lineage: Eukaryota; Metazoa; Chordata; Mammalia; Chiroptera; Vespertilionidae. The record is from Rfam by way of RNAcentral.